AGAUUGAACGCUGGCGGCAGGCCUAACACAUGCAAGUCGAGCGGUAGAGAGGUGCUUGCACCUCUUGAGAGCGGCGGACGGGUGAGUAAUGCCUAGGAAUCUGCCUAGUGGUGGGGGAUAACGUUCGGAAACGGACGCUAAUACCGCAUACGUCCUACGGGAGAAAGCGGGGACCUUCGGGCCUCGCGCCAUUAGAUGAGCCUAGGUCGGAUUAGCUAGUUGGUGAGGUAAUGGCUCACCAAGGCGACGAUCCGUAACUGGUCUGAGAGGAUGAUCAGUCACACUAGGAACUGAAGACGACGGUCCAGACCUCCGUACGGGAGGCAGCGAGGUGGGAAAUAGGUGGAACAAGUCGGGACGAAAGCCUAGACU
Molecule: ribosomal RNA, 372 nt
Filed under: uncultured soil bacterium
Lineage: Bacteria
Description: bacterial SSU rRNA
Rfam family: Bacterial small subunit ribosomal RNA
Source: RNAcentral